CCUACGGGAGGCAGCAGUGAGGAAUAUUGGUCAAUGGGCGGGAGCCUGAACCAGCCAUGCCGCGUGAAGGCGAGUGCCCUACGGGCGUUAAACUUCUUUUGUGCGGGAGCAAUAAGGGCCACGUGUGGCCCGAUGAGAGUACCGCACGAAUAAGCAUCGGCUAACUCCGUGCCAGCAGCCGCGGUAAUACGGGGGAUGCGAGCGUUAUCCGGAUUGAUUGGGGGUAAAGAGCGCGUAGGCGGCGCUUCAGGUCAGCGGUGAAAUACCGGGGCUCAACCCUGGAGCUGCAGUUGAAAACGGGGCUCUAGAGUACGGGUGCGGUAGGAGGAAUGUGUGGUGUAGCGGUGAAAUGCAUAGAGAUCACAGAGAAUACUGAUUGCGAAGGCAACUUACGA
This 395-nucleotide ribosomal RNA is filed under the name uncultured bacterium. RNAcentral describes it as "partial 16S ribosomal RNA". It matches the Rfam family "Bacterial small subunit ribosomal RNA", at positions 338 to 731 of the family's 1533-position model. The record is from RNAcentral.